UGGGGAAUUUUGGACAAUGGGGGAAACCCUGAUCCAGCCAUCCCGCGUGUGCGAUGAAGGCCUUCGGGUUGUAAAGCACUUUUGGCAGGAAAGAAACGUCGCGGGUUAAUACCCCGCGGAACUGACGGUACCUGCAGAAUAAGCACCGGCUAACUACGUGCCAGCAGCCGCGGUAAUACGUAGGGUGCAAGCGUUAAUCGGAAUUACUGGGCGUAAAGCGUGCGCAGGCGGUUCGGAAAGAAAGAUGUGAAAUCCCAGAGCUUAACUUUGGAACUGCAUUUUUAACUACCGGGCUAGAGUGUGUCAGAGGGAGGUGGAAUUCCGCGUGUAGCAGUGAAAUGCGUAGAUAUGCGGAGGAACACCGAUGGCGAAGGCAGCCUCCUGGGAUAACACUGACGCUCAUGCACGAAAGCGUGGGGAGCAAACAGGAUUAGAUACCCUGGUAGUCCACGCCCUAAACGAUGUCAACUAGCUGUUGGGGUCUUCGGACCUUGGUAGCGCAGCUAACGCGUGAAGUUGACCGCCUGGGGAGUAC
This 535-nucleotide ribosomal RNA is filed under the name uncultured bacterium. RNAcentral's name for it is "partial 16S ribosomal RNA". It matches the Rfam family "Bacterial small subunit ribosomal RNA", at positions 355 to 883 of the family's 1533-position model. The record is from RNAcentral.